Molecule: long non-coding RNA, 415 nt
Filed under: Brassica napus (rape)
Lineage: Eukaryota; Viridiplantae; Streptophyta; Magnoliopsida; Brassicales; Brassicaceae
Description: long non-coding RNA (BNAP_LNC018990)
Source: RNAcentral
UUUAACGCCAUUAUUGCUAAUGUGGUGGUAAAAGAAUUUUUUACUCUCUCCAAGACACUUUAUGUCUUUGAAUUUACAGCCCAAAACAUUUUUUACAUGUGACAAUAUUUCUUCCUAGGGCAGGUCCUGGGCCAAGUCCAAUGAAACAUUCGCCUUUGGUCCCCAAACAUUCGUCUUUGGCCCCCAAAAUUUUUGAAAAUUUUUAUAUGUAAAUAGACCUCCAAUUUGUGAAAAAAAUAUUUUUUAGGCUCCCAAAUUUUUGAAGUCUUUACUAAAUGGUCUUGGAUCUCCAAACUCUCAAGGCCGGCCCUGUUCCUAGUCAAUGUCUUUCAUGCCCUUAUGUCUUUGGAAAGUAAAUGAAAAAAAUUCAAACCGGUUGGAGCCUAUUGGUUUACCUAUUAUACCAACCACUCUC